RNAcentral lists this transfer RNA (90 nucleotides) under Nannocystaceae bacterium. RNAcentral describes it as "tRNA-Ser". It matches the Rfam family "tRNA". Rfam says of the family: Transfer RNA (tRNA) molecules are approximately 80 nucleotides in length. Their secondary structure includes four short double-helical elements and three loops (D, anti-codon, and T loops). Lineage: Bacteria; Pseudomonadati; Myxococcota; Nannocystales; Nannocystaceae. The record is from RNAcentral.
GGAGAGGUGUCCGAGUGGUUGAAGGUGCCAGACUCGAAAUCUGGUGAGGCUUCACGGCCUCCGAGGGUUCGAAUCCCUCCCUCUCCGCCA